CGGAGAUGGGCAAUGUGGAAAGAUGGCAACAGCUUCUGGCUGAGCAGGAAGGAAGUGGGGAUCGCUUACCCUGGAAGGAGACUACUUUAGAUCUGAAGGACAAUGUUUUCAGUUGAACUACUGAGCCUCAUCCAUUUUUGGGCUUCUGUCCGUUAUCUAAGAGGUCUCCCUGUCCCCAGCCUUGCUCUUUCUGACACCUGCUUCACCGUGUCUCCAGGAUCACCUUUCCAGCAUGCAGGUCUGACCGCAGCACUGUCUUCUUGAAAGUCCACAGGACGCACUCUCAGCUCCCAGCUCGGUGCUCAGUGCCCUGCCGGGUGUGAUCUUGGCCAUGGCUCCUGUUUCACCUCCUGCAACUUUCCACCUCUCCCUCCCAAUGGGCUCCAGGAGCACGCGGAGUUUUGAGCUUCCUCCCACACAUGAUGGUCUUGCACCUCACAAAAGCACUGCUCCUGCUGUCAGGAACGGCUCCUUCUCCACUGCAACCCCCUCUUCACUCUCACCCUCACCCUGACCCUGCUAUGUGAACAGCGGGCUUCUGCUUUUCCUUCAGAGCACACUUGAGGAAUGGUGAAGCUGUCUUAGAUGCUGUUAGAGCUGAAUCGUGUUCCCCAGAAUUCGUGUAUUUGAUUCCUAACCCCCAGCACCCCAGAAUGUGACUAUACUUGGAGACAGGGCCUUUAAAGAGGAAAUGAAGUUAAAAUGUGGCCGUUGGUUUGGGCCCUGAUCCAUUCCGGCUGGUGUCCUCAUAAAAAGAGGAAACUUUGACACGUGAAGAGACACCAGGAUACAGGCACAGAGGGAAGGCCGCAUGCAGACACUGAAGGAGGUGGCCGUCUGUAAGCCAGAGGGCCUCAGAGGAAACCAGCCCUGCCAGCACUCUCGUCUUCGACCUCCAGCCUCCAGAACUCUAAGGAAAUAAAUUUCUGUUCCUUAGGCCACCUGGUCUGCGGUAUUUUGUUAUGGUAGCAGAGCAAAUUCAUACAGAUGCCCAUAGAAUAGCCUUGAUUUAGGUGUUCCCUAUAAGACAGACAUAAGCUGUCUGUGACAUUGGCAGCUCCUAUUAGGCGGGGCUCAGGGACUCUCCUUAUUCUUCACUCUAAGUCCUACACAACUGCUGGAAACAUGUGUUAAUAAACAUCACAGUCAAGAACUUCUCAGUGAGCACGUGGGCACACGGGUAUCCUUGGUGUCUG
Molecule: long non-coding RNA, 1196 nt
Filed under: Homo sapiens (human)
Lineage: Eukaryota; Metazoa; Chordata; Mammalia; Primates; Hominidae
Description: HSALNT0183514
Source: RNAcentral